This 62-nucleotide microRNA precursor is filed under the name Marmota monax (woodchuck). Lineage: Eukaryota; Metazoa; Chordata; Mammalia; Rodentia; Sciuridae. The record is from RNAcentral.
UUUUAUGGAUGAACAAAGAAAGUUUAUUGACAUGGAAUCUAUUCUGGUAAAGAUGCUGUGAA